GAAUCCCGUCUUUGGCAUGGAUGACCGGGGCUUUUGUGAUGCGCUCUCGAAGAGUCGAGUUGUUUGGGAAUGCAGCUCAAAAUGGGUGGUGAACUCCAUCUAAAGCUAAAUAUUGGCGAGAGACCGAUAGCGAACAAGUACCGUGAGGGAAAGAUGAAAAGCACUUUGGAAAGAGAGUGAAACAGUACGUGAAAUUGUUGAAAGGGAAACGCUUGAAGUCAGUCGCGUCGGCCGGGACUCAGCCUUGCCUCGGCUUGGUGUACUUCUUGACCGACGGGUCAGCAUCAAUUUUGCCCCUUGGAUAAUGGCGAGGGAAAUGUGACACCUUUAUAGGUGUGUUAUAGUCUCUCGUCGCAUGCAAGGGUCGGGAUUGAGGAACUCAGCACGCGCCUUCGGGCGUCGGGGCCUUGCCCACGAUACGUGCUUAGGAUGUUGGCGUAAUGGCUUUAAACGACCCGUCUUGAAACACGGACCAAGGAGUCUAACAUGCCCGCGAGUGUUCGGGUGGAAAACCCGUGCGCGCAAUGAAAGUGAAAGUUGGGACCUCUGUCGCGGAGGGCACCGACGCCCGGACCAGAGCUUCUGCGACGGAUCUGCGGUGGAGCGUGUAUGUUAGGACCCGAAAGAUGGUGAACUAUGCCUGAAUAGGGUGAAGCCAGAGGAAACUCUGGUGGAGGCUCGUAGCGAUUCUGACGUGCAAAUCGAUCGUCAAAUUUGGGUAUAGGGGCGAAAGACUAAUCGAACCAUCUAGUAGCUGGUUCCUGCC
Molecule: ribosomal RNA, 766 nt
Filed under: uncultured Russula
Lineage: Eukaryota; Fungi; Basidiomycota; Agaricomycetes; Russulales; Russulaceae
Description: partial 28S ribosomal RNA
Rfam family: Eukaryotic large subunit ribosomal RNA
Source: RNAcentral